Molecule: transfer RNA, 73 nt
Filed under: Chloroflexota bacterium
Lineage: Bacteria; Bacillati; Chloroflexota
Also listed under: 1 other name
Description: tRNA-Ala
Rfam family: tRNA
About the family: Transfer RNA (tRNA) molecules are approximately 80 nucleotides in length. Their secondary structure includes four short double-helical elements and three loops (D, anti-codon, and T loops). Further hydrogen bonds mediate the characteristic L-shaped molecular structure. tRNAs have two regions of fundamental functional importance: the anti-codon, which is responsible for specific mRNA codon recognition, and the 3' end, to which the tRNAs corresponding amino acid is attached (by aminoacyl-tRNA synthetases). tRNAs cope with the degeneracy of the genetic code in two manners: having more than one tRNA (with a specific anti-codon) for a particular amino acid; and 'wobble' base-pairing, i.e. permitting non-standard base-pairing at the 3rd anti-codon position.
Source: RNAcentral
GGGCCUGUAGCUCAGCUGGGAGAGCGCUACAAUCGCACUGUAGAGGUCAUGAGUUCGAAUCUCUUCAGGUCCA